RNAcentral lists this ribosomal RNA (375 nucleotides) under uncultured organism. RNAcentral's name for it is "partial 16S ribosomal RNA". It matches the Rfam family "Bacterial small subunit ribosomal RNA", at positions 527 to 896 of the family's 1533-position model. The record is from RNAcentral.
GGAGGGGGCGAGCGUUAUUCGGAAUUAUUGGGCGUAAAGGGCAGGUAGGCGGCUUCGUGUGCCUUCUGUGAAAGCCCUCGGCUCAACCGAGGAAUUGCAGGAGAAACUGCGAGGCUUGAGUCCGGGAGAGGCUAGUGGAAUUCCCAGUGUAGCGGUGAAAUGCGUAGAUAUUGGGAGGAACACCAGUGGCGAAGGCGGCUAGCUGGACCGGUACUGACGCUGAGCUGCGAAAGCUAGGGGAGCAAACGGGGGAUUAGAUACCCCGGUAGUCCUGGCUGUAAACGUUGAGCACUUGGUGUGGCGGGUAUCGACCCCCCUGCCCGUGCCGAAGCUAACGCAUUAAGUGCUCCGCCUGGGGAUACGGUCGCAAGGCUG